Molecule: small nucleolar RNA, 65 nt
Organism: Otolemur garnettii (small-eared galago)
Lineage: Eukaryota; Metazoa; Chordata; Mammalia; Primates; Galagidae
Source: Ensembl
UGCCAAUGAUGGUUAAGAAUUUCUUCACCUGAAUAAACUAUGUGGUCACUUCGUAUCUGAGGCAA